This 781-nucleotide ribosomal RNA is filed under the name Tylenchina sp. WY-2009. RNAcentral's name for it is "partial 28S ribosomal RNA". It matches the Rfam family "Eukaryotic large subunit ribosomal RNA", at positions 380 to 944 of the family's 3401-position model. The record is from RNAcentral. Lineage: Eukaryota; Metazoa; Nematoda; Chromadorea; Rhabditida.
AGAGAGAGUAAAGAGCACGUGAAAUCGGUAAGGUGGAAACGGAUAGAGCUGACGUAUCGGGCUCGUAUUCAACCGUCGCGCAUGCGGCGAUUGUGAACGCGUCGUGCGCUUUUAAAGUCUCGCGGCUUGAAAGCGUUUUCGGCGCGCUCGCCGUCGUCGUGCGCGGGCGAUGCACUUACACAGGUCUGUGUGCGCUGAGGCGCGUGUGCCGGUCGCUGGACGGCUGGGCCAGAGGACGUGACGCUUUUAUUUAGCGACGCGAAACCCGGCCCGCCUUUAAGGCGCGUUCGGCGUGCGCGAAAUGCUUUUGGGAGAACGGGCGAUUUGUUCGCGAGGGCUGGCGGCGCUUUUGUGCGUGUGCGCGUGUCGCGUGCGAGGCGCGCAUUCGUGCGUAUGCGGUUGCCGUUCGGUCCGCUCCGUUUCUCUGCCUCGGUGUAAGAGUCAGUGAUCUAUCCGACCCGUCUUGAAACACGGACCAAGGAGUUUAGCGUAUGCGCGAGUCAUUGGGUGUUGAAAACCUAAAGGCGCAAUGAAAGUGAAGGCGCCCAUCGAGGUGUUGAUAUGCGAUCCGUUGCGCUGCGGCGCGGCGGCGCAGCAUAGCCCCGUUCUUGUCGCUUGCGACGGGGCGGAGGCGGAGCGUAUGCGCUGAGACCCGAAAGAUGGUGAACUAUGCCUGAGCAGGACGAAGCCAGAGGAAACUCUGGUGAAAGUCCGAAGCGGUUCUGACGUGCAAAUCGAUCGUCUGACUUGGGUAUAGGGGCGCCAGACUAAUCGAACCAUC